CCUACGGGUGGCAGCAGUGAGGAAUAUUGGUCAAUGGCCGGAAGGCUGAACCAGCCAAGCCGCGUGAAGGACGAAGGUGCCAAGCAUUGUAAACUUCUUUUGUCAAGGGACAAAAUCAGGCUCGAGAGCCUGACCGAGGGUACUUGAAGAAAACGCAUCGGCUAACACCGUACCAGCGGCCGCGGUAAUACGGAGGAUGCGAGCGUUAUCCGGAUUUAUUGGGUUUAAAGGGUGCGUAGGCGGACUGUUAAGUUAGCGGUAAAAGCCCGGUGCUCAACUCCGGCGGGACGUUGAAUCUGGCUGUCUUGAGAGGACGAGAGGGAUGCGGAAUGCGCGGGGUAGCGGUGAAAUGCUUAGAUAUUGCGAAGAACUCCGAUGGCGAAGGCAGCAUACCGGCGGUGAUCGGACGCUGAGGCACGAAAGCGUGGGUAGCGAACAGGAUUAGAUACCCCUGUAGUC
Molecule: ribosomal RNA, 459 nt
Filed under: uncultured bacterium
Lineage: Bacteria
Description: partial 16S ribosomal RNA
Rfam family: Bacterial small subunit ribosomal RNA
Source: RNAcentral